GGUGAGGUGGCUGAGUGGUCGAAAGCAGAGCUUUGCUAAAGCUCCGUAGCCCUUAAAAGCUACCGAGGGUUCGAAUCCCUCCCUCACCGCCA
Molecule: transfer RNA, 92 nt
Filed under: Verrucomicrobiota bacterium
Lineage: Bacteria; Pseudomonadati; Verrucomicrobiota
Also listed under: 1 other name
Description: Verrucomicrobia bacterium (mine drainage metagenome) tRNA-Ser
Rfam family: tRNA
About the family: Transfer RNA (tRNA) molecules are approximately 80 nucleotides in length. Their secondary structure includes four short double-helical elements and three loops (D, anti-codon, and T loops). Further hydrogen bonds mediate the characteristic L-shaped molecular structure. tRNAs have two regions of fundamental functional importance: the anti-codon, which is responsible for specific mRNA codon recognition, and the 3' end, to which the tRNAs corresponding amino acid is attached (by aminoacyl-tRNA synthetases). tRNAs cope with the degeneracy of the genetic code in two manners: having more than one tRNA (with a specific anti-codon) for a particular amino acid; and 'wobble' base-pairing, i.e. permitting non-standard base-pairing at the 3rd anti-codon position.
Source: RNAcentral